This 268-nucleotide ribosomal RNA is filed under the name Staphylococcus aureus. RNAcentral's name for it is "partial 16S ribosomal RNA". It matches the Rfam family "Bacterial small subunit ribosomal RNA", at positions 1 to 258 of the family's 1533-position model. The record is from RNAcentral. Lineage: Bacteria; Bacillati; Bacillota; Bacilli; Caryophanales; Staphylococcaceae.
UUUAUGGAGAGUUUGAUCCUGGCUCAGGAUGAACGCUGGCGGCGUGCCUAAUACAUGCAAGUCAAGCGAACGGACGAGAAGCUUGCUUCUCUGAUGUUAGCGGCGGACGGGUGAGUAACACGUGGAUAACCUACCUAUAAGACUGGGAUAACUUCGGGAAACCGGAGCUAAUACCGGAUAAUAUUUUGAACCGCAUGGUUCAAAAGUGAAAGACGGUCUUGCUGUCACUUAUAGAUGGAUCCGCGCUGCAUUAGCUAGUUGGUAAGGU